RNAcentral lists this ribosomal RNA (486 nucleotides) under uncultured Alphaproteobacteria bacterium. RNAcentral's name for it is "bacterial SSU rRNA". It matches the Rfam family "Bacterial small subunit ribosomal RNA", at positions 38 to 572 of the family's 1533-position model. Lineage: Bacteria; Pseudomonadati; Pseudomonadota; Alphaproteobacteria. The record is from RNAcentral.
GGCGGCAGGCCUAACACAUGCAAGUCGAGCGCCCCGCAAGGGGAGCGGCAGACGGGAGAGUAAUACGUGGGAACGUACCCUUUAGUUCGGAACAACCCAGGGAAACUUGGGCUAAUACCGGAUACGUCCGAAAGGAGAAAGAUUUAUCGCUGAAGGAUCGGCCCACGUCUGAUUAGCUAGUUGGUGAGGUAACGGCUCACCAAGGCGACGAUCAGUAGCUGGUCUGAGAGGAUGAUCAGCCUCACUGGGACUGAGACACGGCCCAGACUCCUACGGGAGGCAGCAGUGGGGAAUAUUGGACAAUGGGCGCAAGCCUGAUCCAGCCAUGCCGCGUGGGUGAUGAAGGCCCUAGGGUUGUAAAGCCCUUUCGGCGGGGAAGAUAAUGACGGUACCCGCAGAAGAAGCCCCGGCUAACUUCGUGCCAGCAGCCGCGGUAAUACGAAGGGGGCUAGCGUUGCUCGGAAUCACUGGGCGUNAAGCGCACGU